RNAcentral lists this ribosomal RNA (468 nucleotides) under uncultured bacterium. RNAcentral's name for it is "partial 16S ribosomal RNA". It matches the Rfam family "Bacterial small subunit ribosomal RNA", at positions 28 to 507 of the family's 1533-position model. The record is from RNAcentral.
GACGAACGCUGGCGGCGUGCUUAACACAUGCAAGUCGAACGGAAAGGCCCUGCUUUUGUGGGGUGCUCGAGUGGCGAACGGGUGAGUAACACGUGAGUAACCUGCCCUUGACUUUGGGAUAACUUCAGGAAACUGGGGCUAAUACCGGAUAGGAGCUCCUGCUGCAUGGUGGGGGUUGGAAAGUUUCGGCGGUUGGGGAUGGACUCGCGGCUUAUCAGCUUGUUGGUGGGGUAGUGGCUUACCAAGGCUUUGACGGGUGGCCGGCCUGAGAGGGUGACCGGCCACAUUGGGACUGAGAUACGGCCCAGACUCCUACGGGAGGCAGCAGUGGGGAAUAUUGCACAAUGGGCGGAAGCCCGAUGCAGCAACGCCGCGUGCGGGAUGACGGCCUUCGGGUUGUAAACCGCUUUCGCCUGUGACGAAGCGUGAGUGACGGUAAUGGGUAAAGAAGCACCGGCUAACUACGUG